Molecule: ribosomal RNA, 429 nt
Filed under: uncultured bacterium
Lineage: Bacteria
Description: bacterial SSU rRNA
Rfam family: Bacterial small subunit ribosomal RNA
Source: RNAcentral
UAGGGAAUUUUCGGCAAUGGGGGGAACCCUGACCGAGCAACGCCGCGUGAAUGAAGAAGUAUUUCGGUAUGUAAAAUUCUUUUAUUUGGGAAGAAGGUUAUUGAUAGGAAAUGAUUAAUAAGUGACGGUACCAAAUGAAUAAGUCCCGGCUAACUACGUGCCAGCAGCCGCGGUAAUACGUAGGGGACGAGCGUUAUCCGGAUUUAUUGGGCGUAAAGGGUGCGUAGGCGGUAGAUUAAGUUCAAGGUAAAAGCGUGGGGCUCAACCCCAUUAGGCCUUGGAUACUGGUUUACUUGAGUUAGGUAGAGGUAAGUGGAACUCCAUGUGUAGCGGUAAAAUGCGUAAAUAUAUGGAAGAACACCUGUGGCGAAAGCGGCUUACUGGGCCUAUACUGACGCUGAGGCACGAAAGCGUGGGGAGCAAACAGGA